This 372-nucleotide ribosomal RNA is filed under the name uncultured organism. RNAcentral describes it as "bacterial SSU rRNA". It matches the Rfam family "Bacterial small subunit ribosomal RNA", at positions 526 to 896 of the family's 1533-position model. The record is from RNAcentral.
CGUAGGGGGCUAGCGUUGUCCGGAAUCAUUGGGCGUAAAGCGCGUGUAGGCGGCUCGAUAAGUCCGCUCUGAAAGCCCGGGGCUCAACCCCGGGAGGCGGGUGGAUACUGUCGAGCUCGAGUCCGGAAGAGGCAAGUGGAAUUCCCGGUGUAGCGGUGAAAUGCGCAGAUAUCGGGAGGAACACCAAUGGCGAAGGCAGCUUGCUGGGACGGUACUGACGCUGAGACGCGAAAGCGUGGGGAGCAAACAGGAUUAGAUACCCUGGUAGUCCACGCCGUAAACGAUGGACACUAGGUGUGGGGGGUGUCGACUCCCUCCGUGCCGAAGCUAACGCAUUAAGUGUCCCGCCUGGGGAGUACGGCCGCAAGGCUA